Molecule: unclassified non-coding RNA, 4508 nt
Filed under: Monomorium pharaonis (pharaoh ant)
Lineage: Eukaryota; Metazoa; Arthropoda; Insecta; Hymenoptera; Formicidae
Description: uncharacterized LOC118648073, transcript variant X1
Source: RNAcentral
CCCCCCUGUGAGACAAUUACGACAAGUGCGUACGCGAAAUCUGGCCGCGUGAGAUCGCGCAGCUCCGGUCCGGUCUUUCCUCCGUCACGGCGUCAUUGACGAACGAUCCCGCAGUGUCUAUCCCGGAACCGAAGGGAUCGGCGGCGAAUCGAGGCUCGCCGUGAAGAUUUUUAGCAUUUUAUUCGAAACAUUCUUCUCGAAUCACGUGGGAAGGUGCGCGCCUGUCGUGCGCGACACGGCAAUCGGUUUUACAAAUCGGUUCUCGACUUUUCUUUCACCUUUGACUUUUCAUCGUCGCACAACUUCGCGGAAGCUCACAGUAGGAGUAUCCUACGAAGGGAGGUCCCAAUGUUUCUUCUUCGGAUAAUGAUAACCAGUGGUGAAGUAGUGAUAGUGCGUUACGUGGGGAUCUGUUCGUCGCGUCGAUCUUUCGCGGGAGGAUUCUCCUGUGCGUAAUCACGACCGCGAGAAGAGGGUACGCGCGUGAGAUAUAUCGAUAAGGCCAGCGAGACCGACAAAAGAGAGGGAAGAGAAAACGCGAGGUAAUGCACGUCAGCUCUCGCCGAUUAAUAAUCAGAAGGAGGGAAAAAGUGAAAGAAAAAAGAAGAGAGACAGGACCAGCCUAAAUAAAGUCAUUUAAAGAUCGGCCUCAACCGAUCGUCAUCAACGGGGAAACGACCCGCCAGGAUCAUUCGCAGUGUACCGAGUAUCCUCGGCCGCUGUCGGAUAUCGGGCAAAGGAGAGGAUCGAUGUCACCUCGCGAAUCGAUCGCGCGUCGUUUCUCGCCGAGUCGUCGGUCCGGAAUCCGGCGAUCAGCUGAUCCGGCAGAUAAGAAUUGCGCGGCCGUUACCGGGGCGCGCGGUGUGUAACGUGUAAUCGUAAACCGGUGCGACCGACGCGGCAGCCGCAAGAAUGCGAGAGAAUCGAAAGCGCGACGACGGUGCAUGGACGGUAACAGCGGACUGGCAGCCGCAUCCCUCGUUCUCAGCGGCCCACGUCGUCUCGAGGCACCCUCUUCGGAGGCGGAAGUGACCGGAAGUUGGCCUUCUUAAUAUCAAUUGGCAGCGCGCGCGGUCAUCAUCAACCGUACCGACCGAUGACACUUCUCGCGAUUGUUAAACACGGAAUCGCGAGGAGGAUUUACAUAAGAGAUCUAUAAUAAAUCCAGAGGAAACGGCAGUAAUCCCCAACGCGGACAAGAGGGAGGAGGGUAAAGGAGGAAGAGUCGGAUGAGACCGUCAUGCCCGCUGAGAUCGGCACGGGCGGGCAUAGGGUGCUGCACUGUGAUUCCCAUGCCGACCGCCCAAUUGCGAUAUCGAUUUACGUGCCGUCCCCGUCGAGCGAUGAGCGCCGAAUCAAUCGCGUAAACUCGCCCGUGAAAACGGUGUUCAACGAUGACAAAUUGAACGAGUCGCAGGGAGAAGCUCCGAAGGAUCAGCCACAAAAGACUGAACGUCGCGUGAGAAAAGCGGAGUCGUCAGACCGCGGGCGCGGAAAGAACCCAUCAUGUAAUCACGGUGAAAGUUCACCCACGAGGAUUCUGAGAAUCGCUGGCAAAAAGGAAACGGUCCAAGGCGGACGUCACUUCCUGGCAAAGAGUGGCGCGUCGCAGCGGCAACGAAGGGGAGGGGGAGGAGAGGAGGACGGCGACGGAUUUCUCGGAGCAUGUCGCGCGUCGAGGGAAUCUCCGUACGGGAACGAGGAUGUCACCAGGGACGAACGUUUCUCGGUCACGUGGAGCUCGCGGGAGGACGCGGGCGAGGACGGGAGGCUCGUGCGAGGAACGGAGUCGCGGCUGCACCGGGACGACGGGACGGAGCGAUAUCGGCUCGCAGUAGCGGAUGUGAGGGUGAACACGAUCGCGAGGCGUCGAAGUCUCCGGAAUCGAUCCUGGACGAGACCACGGCCGUCGUCGUCCCGCGGGAGUAGGGCGGCUCUCGACGCGGAUCUGAUCGGCGAUCAGCCGCGAACUACAGGGGGUGAUCCUCCUCUCUCUAGUCACCACUCGCGCGCUAUUCGCGCGGAGGUAGAAAUCUAUGGGGACGGACGUCGAGACGUCGACGAGAGGUUUCUCGGCGUGAAAUUCGGUAGUGAGACGCGGACGGAUGAAGACGAACGAUCGGACGAUCCGGGACGACGUGAUGUACGCCCGGAGGACAGGCGGGAUAAGAGGCCCGGCCAGGAUUCCACGGACAGGAAGCGGCUCGAUCGCGUUCGCUCUUUCCUGCAGCUGGCCGUCCUCGUCUUCCUAAUCGCGUUCGGACGAUACGGGCCGCUCGGCUCGUCCAGUGUGCUUGGAGUCAGUGCUAGACCGGUCGCGAACGGCUUAAGUGUUUUGGGAAUUAUCGGUGCAGUGAACGCGAGGUCAGUCGAUCUGACCGGCGACGCGGGUACGCGGGCCGAGAGAUCGGCCAAUCUCUCUCACAUCACCGGAACCUCGAGGAAAAUACAAAUGUAUAUCAUGAACCGGCACCUGCAGAUCCUGCCGGAUGGUACGGUGAACGGUGCCAAGAACGACAGCUCGAUCUAUACGUUUUAAUCAAAAGGGAAUGAAAUCGUCCUUUUCGAAAGGACGAAGAGAAAAUGUGAGAAAAUGAGGAUCGAGGCCCAGAACAACUAUAAAUAUAAAACCGACGACUGAAACUCUGGAACCCCUGCAGCUGAUAGCACUUAGCUCCCAAUGGCACACGUAGCAUGCUGCGCGGUUGAUUGGCCCGGUGCUUUUAAUUGAAAUAUCCCGGACAGAAAAGGUGAACGUACGAGAAUAUAAAGUUGUUACUUCACAAUUGAAUGCUCACUCCACUUCUUUCUUCGAGACGCGAGGAAAUAAAACCUUGGAUUAAAAGUUAAUGUAGGAAGGAAAACGUACGCGCGUAAUAAAGAUGUUCGCGGGACUGUAUAUCUGAUUUCUUAUCUGCAAUUGAUAUGACUAUCGCGAGCGAGAAGAUUGCCGUGAAAUUACUGCUAAGUGAUUUGAUAUGGUAAUGUUGUAUGUGCACCGCGGAGCUUAGAAAUGCGAAGUAGAGAAUUAAAGGCGCGAUAUUGCAUGAUUAACAAGCCCGUGACGAUUUGCGGGCUACAGCCGCGGUGACCGCGUGUAAUCGAGUAUAUUUGCACUGCUAAAUAUCUGCCAGAUUGCUAUAAUAAUUACUAUGCAAUUAUGUUGCCUUUGAUUUAUCGCUCGCGAUUGCGAUAUGCAUCGGGAACGACGGACGGUCGGUUCCGCUUGCGCUAUCAGCUGUUAAAACCGAGCGAUUAAAGGCAGACCAGCAAAGUGAGACCUUUCGCGAAUGUGACGAGGAGCUAUCUUGAUUAACGGUAAACCCGCGAUUGUGGUACGCGGAAAUUGUUGCGUAUUCGCAAUUGGCGAUGCGAACUCGCGGUCGCGAAGGCGCCGGAAGGCGUCGCGUCGCGCCGUGCGCCGUCGAGUUAUCUCGACGCGACCAAUCGGCAAGAAAUACGAUCGGCUGAUUAGAUUCCAAAAUUAGUCGAUGGAAUUCCGCGCGCGACAAUUAGCGAGAACCGGCGUGGCGCAAUUAUCGCCCGAUAGUCCGGAUUUCAAUGUCGCUAGACGCGACUUUUUCCGUCACGUGCGCGACAUGUUAAAAUCGAAUAGCGCGAUCUGCAUUAGGAUGUGCAUCGAAUAGUUGAUCAUCGACAGCUGCUAAUCCCAGGAUUAUCCUACGAUGCAAAUCGUAAUAAUAAUUAUCUUCUAUUAGACAUCAAGCAAAACUGCAAAACUAAUUAUCACGCGAAAUCAUUUUGUAUCGACUCGAUUCUGCCAGAUUAGGGUGCAAGGUCGCUCUCCUUAUGUCGGAUUCUAUCGAAUGGAACGUGUUCGCGUGCAAUAUGCCAAGUCAUCGAAGCAUUCACAGGUCUGUCGAUGAUAAAUGACUUGGAGUUACUUCCCCGACUGUCAUCGAAAAAGUUGCGAUAAUUAAUUGCUAUGAGUGUAACUUGUCACCAUGCAAAUCGUUUCAUAAUAUUUAUAAAUUAUGGAAUGAUCUACAAAUAACAAUAUGAAGAGAGUAUAUGGCUAAAUGGAUAAAGAUAGUGAAAGAGUAUUAUUUAAAACUAGCAAGAAGAAUACAAAUUGACAAUUGGCAUUACAAAAACGACGUUUGAAAACCACGAUAAUUUAAUAGAGAAAGCGGCGACGCACCUAGUACGAACAAAUGAAUGAAUUUUGCAUGCGGGAUUUCCGAGAAACAACUUAGCACGCAAAUCUUAAGACAAAGGUGCAGUGAUUCACUCUGUGAAGCCAAUCACUUGUAUUGAAAUCGAUAAAGAUAACGUUCUCGUAUCCAAUUCCCUUAUUCUAAAUUCGUAAUUCGAUAAUAUUGUAUAUCUGUCAACGACAUAGAAACAGCCAUUUCCGCAUGUGCGAAGGCGUUAUGUGCUAGAUGUAACUUCCAAGAAAACUAAUACGUCUUGUGGAUAUAUAAGAGAUAGGUCUCAAUAAAGAUAUCUUCAAGAUAUUUUUAAAAGAUGUCUAGAAGUAAAAAAAA